GGCGGACGUAGCCAAGUGGA
RNAcentral lists this transfer RNA (20 nucleotides) under Frullania californica. Its description in RNAcentral is "partial tRNA-His". Lineage: Eukaryota; Viridiplantae; Streptophyta; Jungermanniopsida; Porellales; Frullaniaceae. The record is from RNAcentral.